AAAAAGUAUAUGAUUAUCAAGUGAUGAAAGUACGAUCCAAGUGGUAAACUAAGUUUCAUCUGUGUAGAAUCUCUCGGUCAGAUUCUUAGUGUUUUAGAAUGAAAGUAGGAGCUUAGUCUUGGGGGUUUUCGUGACGCUCCAAUGGCCUUUCUUCUCACGUAGAGAGGAUUGGACCAUGUGGUGAGGAGUAGCGGGAGGUCUUAGUCUCGGAGGCUUCCAGUAUGCUCCAAGGCGCGGAACAGACUAACCUCGUGAGUGUGGCAAGGUGGGGAACCUAAGUUUCAUAAGCCACCACGGGUGCUUGACCCGCCAUAGCUCGACUCUCAUUCUAAAGUCUGGACGAGUCAAGUCUAGAAAAUAACAUGCUAGGGUUUGUGUUAUAAAUUGUCUUACUUGUAUGUAUUUUACUUGAGUUAAAUCUGAUAUGUAUAUGUUGCUAUAAUUGUAUGCUUUUUAUAUAAUUAGCUCACCCUUGC
This 476-nucleotide long non-coding RNA is filed under the name Vigna radiata. RNAcentral describes it as "long non-coding RNA (VRAD_LNC018385)". Lineage: Eukaryota; Viridiplantae; Streptophyta; Magnoliopsida; Fabales; Fabaceae. The record is from RNAcentral.